Molecule: long non-coding RNA, 1304 nt
Filed under: Homo sapiens (human)
Lineage: Eukaryota; Metazoa; Chordata; Mammalia; Primates; Hominidae
Description: HSALNT0378146
Source: RNAcentral
AUUUUGAAAGCUGUCCUACAGUGGGUAAAAUGCUAUCAAAUAGCAUCGCAUGCUACAAAGAAGUCUUUCAUGAAAGGAAGACUCAAAUUCCUUGCGGGAAACAUCUUUGUUGUUUGCCACCCCAACCUUCCGCAACCACUGCCCUGAUCAGUCAGCAGCCUUCAAAUUGUGGUUAAGGUCACCAAACCAAGCGGAUGCCUGGCUUGGGUUUUUGACAGUGGAGUCAGCGACAACAAAGACAACGGAUAAUUAGAGUUCAUUCAAACAUCCUUUGAGAUUUCCAGUAAAUCAUGGAAUUAAAAAAAAAAAGAAAUUACAGAUACAGUAAGAAAAGAAAAAGAGAAGAAAAAACAGUAGAUAAGCCACGCAAAAGUCUUCCUACCAAGAAUCAAGUUCAAAUGACUCAGCUGGUCAAUUUACUAAGACUCUUGUUCGGGAACAAGAAUCAAAGACUUAGAGAUGAUCAGUAACCUGGAGAAGUUAUACAGCAAGAAAAUCUACAUCAUGGAUUUCCCUGUAGAGUCAUGAGACAGGAAUGUGCAAAGCCAAAAGAGACAGCUGGGAAGUGUAGCAGAAGUGAGUGACCCUGCCCUUCUUGGGAGGUCAUCCUUGGAGAAAAAGCUGACACCCUCACAUCACAAAAUGUAACACCCUUGACGUCACGAUUUGUUUGGAUGCAAUUCUAUUUCAUGUUGAACCAUUAACAUGGAAUGGAAUAAAAUAGAAUGGCUAUAAUUUACUGAGUGCUUAAGGACAGUCUUUAUUAAAAGCAAUUGGAUUAAUAAUCUCUGAAUUGUCAUGAAUCUGCAAGUGUCCAGGAUUUCACAUGAAGAAGAUGAGAGAAGACAACUCAGAGCGUGGAGUGACUUCCCUUCAUUUUAAACAAGGUGUUCCAGGCUACGCUAUGGAAGUCAACUUUGUGGGAUUGAAACGUUAAGCUGGAAUCCUUUCGACUUUUAUGAAUGCAAGAGCUUGUCAGGUGGAGAAGCCAUUCAGUGAACAUGAAGUGACAAAUAUGAGGAUGAAAGCCUAUAUAGUCAGGACAGCUAAGGAGACAGCUUCAGGAGGAUGCUCCACCAUUGAUGAAGGAAGGGUCAAGAGUGAAGAAGGGAUGCUCCAUGUGGCAAUGUGACACCAAUUUUCCACGACGGGGAGGAAAAAGUCCAGUAGUUGACAAUGAAUAGGAUGCCACAACCUCUUGAGUGAAAGGUAACCUGUAUGGUGGACUCUCAAUCUCUGUAUACUCAUAAGAGAUCCACAGGGGAACAUAAAGAGAGAAGUAAAAUGUGUUCAGAAGUUUAAGA